Molecule: ribosomal RNA, 1045 nt
Filed under: uncultured Arthrobacter sp.
Lineage: Bacteria; Bacillati; Actinomycetota; Actinomycetes; Micrococcales; Micrococcaceae
Description: bacterial SSU rRNA
Rfam family: Bacterial small subunit ribosomal RNA
Source: RNAcentral
UCCUACGGGAGGCAGCAGUGGGGAAUAUUGCACAAUGGGCGCAAGCCUGAUGCAGCGACGCCGCGUGAGGGAUGACGGCCUUCGGGUUGUAAACCUCUUUCAGUAGGGAAGAAGCGAAAGUGACGGUACCUGCAGAAGAAGCGCCGGCUAACUACGUGCCAGCAGCCGCGGUAAUACGUAGGGCGCAAGCGUUAUCCGGAAUUAUUGGGCGUAAAGAGCUCGUAGGCGGUUUGUCGCGUCUGCCGUGAAAGUCCGGGGCUCAACUCCGGAUCUGCGGUGGGUACGGGCAGACUAGAGUGAUGUAGGGGAGACUGGAAUUCCUGGUGUAGCGGUGAAAUGCGCAGAUAUCAGGAGGAACACCGAUGGCGAAGGCAGGUCUCUGGGCAUUAACUGACGCUGAGGAGCGAAAGCAUGGGGAGCGAACAGGAUUAGAUACCCUGGUAGUCCAUGCCGUAAACGUUGGGCACUAGAUGUGGGGACCAUUCCACGUUUUCCGCGCCGUAGCUAACGCAUUAAGUGCCCCGCCUGGGGAGUACGGCCGCAAGGCUAAAACUCAAAGGAAUUGACGGGGGCCCGCACAAGCGGCGGAGCAUGCGGAUUAAUUCGAUGCAACGCGAAGAACCUUACCAAGGCUUGACAUGGACCGGAAACACCUGGAAACAGGUGCCCCGCUUGCGGCCGGUUCACAGGUGGUGCAUGGUUGUCGUCAGCUCGUGUCGUGAGAUGUUGGGUUAAGUCCCGCAACGAGCGCAACCCUCGUUCCAUGUUGCCAGCGCGUAAUGGCGGGGACUCAUGGGAGACUGCCGGGGUCAACUCGGAGGAAGGUGGGGACGACGUCAAAUCAUCAUGCCCCUUAUGGGUAGGGCUUCACACGUCAUACAAUGGUCGGAACAGAGGGUUGCCAACCCGCGAGGGGGAGCUAAUCCCAGAAAACCGAUCGUAGUCCGGAUUGCACUCUGCAACUCGAGUGCAUGAAGCUGGAAUCGCUAGUAAUCGCGGAUCAGCAUGCCGCGGUGAAUACGUUCCCGGGCCUUGUACACACCGC